GACGAACGCUGGCGGCGUGCCUAAUACAUGCAAGUAGAACGCAGUUGCGAACGGGUGAGUAACGCGUAGGUAACUGCCUCAUCGCGGGGGAUAACCAUUGGAAACGAUAGCUAAUACCGCAUACUGUGACAUGGACCUGCGUGGUAUUAGCUUGUUGGUGUGGUAAAGGCUCACCAAGGAGACGAUACAUUGCCGACCUGAGAGGGUGGUCGGCCACGCUGGGGAUGAGACACGGCCCAGAAGCCUACGGCGGGCAGCAGUAGUGGAUCUUUGGCAAUGGAGGGAAGUCUGACCGAGCCACGGCGCGGGUUUGAAGAAGGGUUUGAGAUCGGAAAGGUCCGUUUUGAGAAGAGCGGUAACUAACCAGAAAGGGACGGCUAACUACGUGCCAGCCGCCGCGGUAAUUC
This 407-nucleotide ribosomal RNA is filed under the name uncultured bacterium. RNAcentral's name for it is "partial 16S ribosomal RNA". It matches the Rfam family "Bacterial small subunit ribosomal RNA", at positions 28 to 526 of the family's 1533-position model. The record is from RNAcentral.